GGCCAGGUGGUGUAACGGUAACACGUGCAAUUUAAUUAAAACUGCUCCGAGUCUUUAUUGUGAGCUCCUCGUUCAAUUCGGAGUCUGGCCC
This is a non-coding RNA of Mycena metata, 91 nucleotides long. The record is from the annotation of a GenBank genome assembly. Lineage: Eukaryota; Fungi; Basidiomycota; Agaricomycetes; Agaricales; Mycenaceae.